This 305-nucleotide ribosomal RNA is filed under the name uncultured bacterium. RNAcentral's name for it is "bacterial SSU rRNA". It matches the Rfam family "Bacterial small subunit ribosomal RNA", at positions 335 to 657 of the family's 1533-position model. The record is from RNAcentral.
UCCCUACGGGGCGCAGCAGUCGGGAAUAUUGCGCAAUGGAGGAAACUCUGACGCAGUGACGCCGCGUAUAGGAAGAAGGUUUUCGGAUUGUAAACUAUUGUCGUUAGGGAAGAUAAAAGACAGUACCUAAGGAGGAAGCCCCGGCUAACUACGUGCCAGCAGCCGCGGUAAUACGUAGGGGGCAAGCGUUAUCCGGAUUUACUGGGUGUAAAGGGAGCGUAGGCGGCGAUGCAAGUCAGAAGUGAAAGCCCGGGGCUCAACUCCGGGACUGCUUUUGAAACUGUGUUGCUAGAUUGCAGGAGAGG